Molecule: long non-coding RNA, 1271 nt
Filed under: Portunus trituberculatus (swimming crab)
Lineage: Eukaryota; Metazoa; Arthropoda; Malacostraca; Decapoda; Portunidae
Description: uncharacterized LOC123513894, transcript variant X2
Source: RNAcentral
CUUUCUUUUGUAGGCGUUGUGCAGGUAAGACGUGUGUGCGCUAAGAAGUGUGUCUGCCCGCUCCCUCGUCAUGUGUAUGCAACGGAGAAGGUUGGGUCAUGCUGGCCACACUCUAAACAUGGGGCAAACAAACUUCUGAGAAGUCUUGGCAUCCUGCUCCUCCUCUCCUCUUCCUCGUCUGUGUCCAUGUGAUAGUUUAUCUCAGGUCUGCCUCCGCAGAAGAGGAUGCUGUCCGCUGAGGCUUGCGGUCUGGCACAGGUCCUGCCACUACUGUAGAGAGAACCAAACCAGCGUGUCGUCUUCUUUGGAUCCGUGUCACUUGGAACGCUUCCUAGGGGGGUCUCCUUUCACCGUCUGCAAACCACCCAAAGCUGAGCCCUGAAUCUGAGGUGUUUACUGUCUCUGCCCAACACCUGCUGCCAAUCUACUUUUUGACUCGACUGUAUGCCAUCACAUUUCCACUCUCAGUGUGUGUUACUCAGUGUUGUUCCCUGUCCUGCUGCCUGCGCCACUCACCACCUCAUAACAAUCCCCAACCUGCAGCAGGAAGCUGGAAGACGCCUACUGUCCUGGUGCACCUUCCACGAAGGAAUUGGACCCUGCCUAGCACCUGCUUUCCCUGACAGUUGUCAUGUAGGAAGGAGACACGGCCUCGCUUCACCUUCCAUGGAGGAAGGAAUUGGACCCUGCCUAGCACCUGCUUUCCCUGACAGUUGUCAUGUAGGAAGGAGACACGGCCUCGCUUCACCUUCCAUGGAGGAAGGAAUUGGACCCUGCCUCGCACCAGCUCUGCCCUGACACGUUCCCAUGCAGGUGAUGCCUUCAGGGAGGGAGGACUGCCUCUCUGCACCUUCCAUGGAGGAAUUGGACCCUGGCUCGCAUCAGCUGCCCUGACAUGUAAUGUCAUCCAAGGAGGGAGGACGCUGCCUCGCUGCACCUUCCACGAUGUUAGGAGAGUGGCUCGCUUCAUCUAACAUAACCUAACCUAAGCAAUACAUGUUGCCAUCACUUGUAUAAAAUGUUAUUCCUUCUAUCUUGUGUGAAUGUAUGUACCCACAGAAGUGCAGUGUUAUUAUUCCUUCCAUGUUCUGUUAUGAACCCCAUGUAAAAUGUUAUUUCUUCUAUCUAAUGUGAAUGUGUAUCCACAGAAGUGUGAUGUUAUUAUUCCUUUCCAUGUUUUAUGUACAGUGCUAUUAUUCCUUCCAUGUUCCGUGAUGUACCCAUGUAACUCGUGUUAGUGCUUAAUAAUAAAUCAUAAUUAAGAAAAUUGA